AAGAAAAAAUUUAGUUGUUUUUAUUGUUUUAAAAUUAUUUAAUAUAAAUAAAUUUAAAUUUAAAAGUUUUUGUAUUGUUUAAAGAUCAAAUAAUUUUUUUUAUAGAUAAGUAGUAUUGAGAAAGAAAGUUGAAAAAUUUUUUUGUUUAUUAAAAAGUAGUAUUAAUUUUAUGUACCUUUUGUAUCAGGGUUUAUUAAAUAAGAAUAAAAAAUUUUAUGUUCUCGAAUUUAAAGGGGCUAAGUUAGUAUGAAAUUUUUUGUUUUAUAAAGAUUUUAAAUAUUAAUUUAGUAAUGAAAUGUUAUUCGUCUUUAAAUAUAUCUAGUUUUUUAAGAAAUAAAUUUAAUUUAUAUAUUAAUUAAUUAAUUUUUUAAUUUUUAAAUUGAUUAAUAAUUAAUAUAAAUAUAUCAAGGGAUAAGCUUUGAUUUAUGAAAAUUAUAAUUGUAUAGAAUAUUUUCUUAGUUGUAGAUUUAGAAAUAGUUAUCAAUAAAAAAUUUGUAUUAAUUUAUAAAUUAAUAAAAAAUAUUUAGUAGAAUUUAAUUUGAAUAUUAAAAUGUAAAUUUUAAUUUUGAAAAUUUAGUAAUAAUGAUAAAAUUAGUAUAGUAGAAUUGUUUAAAUUAAAUUUAUAAAAAGAUUAUUUUAAGGAAUUCGGCAAAAAUAAUGUUCACCUGUUUAACAAAAACAUGUCUUUUAGAAUAUAAUUUAAAGUCUAACCUGCCCACUGAAUUAAUUUGAAGGGCCGCGGUAUUUUGACUGUGCAAAGGUAGCAUAAUCAUUAGUCUUUUAAUUGGAGGCUUGUAUGAAUGGUUGGAUGAAACAUUAACUGUCUCAAUUUAAUAAAAAUAGAAUUUAAUUUUUAAGUUAAAAAGCUUAAAUUUAAUUAGAGGACGAGAAGACCCUAUAGAUCUUUAUAAUUAAUUAUUUAUUAUUAGUUUAGUAAAUUAAUUUUUAUUAAUUAAUUAAUUAUUUUAUUGGGGUGAUAAAUAAAUUUGGUAAACUUUAUUUAAUAUAAACAUUUAUUUAUGAAUAUUUGAUCCAUUAUUAGUGAUUAAAAGAUUAAGUUACCUUAGGGAUAACAGCGUAAUUUUUUUAGAGAGUUCUAAUCGAUAAAAAAGUUUGCGACCUCGAUGUUGAAUUAAAGGUUAAUUUUAGGUGCAGAAGUUUAAAGUUUUGGUCUGUUCGACCAUUAAAUCUUUACAUGAUUUGAGUUCAAACCGGCGUGAGCCAGGUUGGUUUCUAUCCUUAAUAAGAUAAAAUAUUUUAGUACGAAAGGACCAAAUAUUUAAAAAAUUUUUUUAAUUAGAAUAAUAUUAAU
RNAcentral lists this ribosomal RNA (1312 nucleotides) under Protohermes sinensis. RNAcentral's name for it is "16S ribosomal RNA". The stretch from base 622 to 1312 matches the Rfam family "Archaeal large subunit ribosomal RNA", at positions 1423 to 2802 of the family's 2987-position model. The record is from RNAcentral. Lineage: Eukaryota; Metazoa; Arthropoda; Insecta; Megaloptera; Corydalidae.